GUGUCAGCCGCCGCGGCAAUACAGGGGGUGCGAGCGUUGUUCGGAAUUACUGGGCGUAAAGAGCGCGUAGGCGGUUUAGUAAGUCAGAUGUGAAAGCCCGGAGCCCAACUCCGGAAGUGCAUUUGAAACUACUAGGCUCGAGUGCAGUAGAGGAUGGCGGAAUACCCAGUGUAGAGGUGAAAUUCGUAGAUAUUGGGUAGAACACCGGUGGCGAAGGCGGCCAUCUGGGCUGUAACUGACGCUGAGGCGCGAAAGCGUGGGGAGCAAACAGGAUUAGAUACCCUGGUAGUCC
This 292-nucleotide ribosomal RNA is filed under the name uncultured bacterium. RNAcentral describes it as "partial 16S ribosomal RNA". It matches the Rfam family "Bacterial small subunit ribosomal RNA", at positions 505 to 796 of the family's 1533-position model. The record is from RNAcentral.